GAGUUUCGCUCUUGUUGCCCAGACUGCUCACCGCAACCUCCGUCUCCUGGGUUCAAGAGAUUCUCCUGCCUCAGCCUCCCGAGUAGCUGGGAUUACAGGCAUGUGCCAGCACACCUGGCUAAUUUUUGUAUUCUUAGUAGAGACGGAGUUUCUCCAUGUUGGCCAGGCUGGUCUCGAAUUCCCGACCUCAAGUGAUCUGCCCGCCUCGGCCUCCCGAAGUGCUGCAAUUACAGGCGUGAGCCACCGCGCCCGGCCCAGAAACAUGUUUUGAAGGGCAGGCACCGCACAGGGUGCUGGAGACAGACUGAAGGAAACUGCACCUCUCAGUGACUCAAGAGAGAUUUGUUGAGUAUCUACCAAGUGCCUAGCGCUGUUCUUGUCCCUGGGGAUUCAGCCUCUGGAUUGGGACCUGCAGCCCAGAGAAGGGAAAUGGGGGAAAUCCAAGUUCCCAGGUACAUCAUGAUACCCUUCCAGCCUCUCCUUCCUGGAAAUUGCCAUCACCAGCGGCCAUAGCACCCCCAUGGGACCUGGGGGAUGGAGUUGGAAGCCCCCUCCGGCAACACUGGCCAGAUUGGAGAGACCAGCAGGGAAGCUCCCUCCUACCCCCAGGGAGGCUGAAGCCAGCUCUCCAUGGGCACGAAACCUGGAACCCAGGACCCUGGGGGGCAGCUGCACGGUAUUCCAGCACAAGGAUGUAUGGUAAUUUACAGAUGCACUUCUUGGCAGAGGGACCUUCAGGUUGCUUCCAGCCCUUUCUCAAGACAGGCCGUGCCGCAGUGAGUCAUCUGUACAAAAGCCCUUUCACACAUGCACGAGCGCUGCUGCGGAAUACAUUCCCAGAAGGGACUUGGGAGGACUGGGGGGCAAAAGAUACAUGCAGUGGUGUCUUAUUAUUGUUAUUUUAGAGACAGGGUCCUGCUCUGUCACCCAGGCUGGAGUACAAUGUACAAUGGUGUCAUCAUAGCUGACUGCAGCCUCGACCUCCUGGGCUUAAGCCAUCCUCCCGCCUUGGCCUCCUGCGUGGCUGGGACUACAGGCACGCACCACCGUGCCCAGCUUGCAGUGGUCAUUUUGUCAGCUCUGUCAGCUUGUCCUUCUUGGAGACUGUGCCAGGUACCAGGCCCCCACACAGUCAACAGGGCUGUUUCUCCUCAGGCUCACCAGCCCCUGGUUUCCACC
This 1179-nucleotide long non-coding RNA is filed under the name Homo sapiens (human). RNAcentral's name for it is "HSALNT0363238". Lineage: Eukaryota; Metazoa; Chordata; Mammalia; Primates; Hominidae. The record is from RNAcentral.